UGGUGGAUUGUUUUGUCUGGUUGAUUCUGUUAACGAGCGAGAUUUUAGUGUGUGUGUGUGUUUUAGUGCAAGUGUAAGGUGAUAACA
RNAcentral lists this ribosomal RNA (87 nucleotides) under uncultured eukaryote. RNAcentral describes it as "partial 18S ribosomal RNA". The record is from RNAcentral.